RNAcentral lists this ribosomal RNA (250 nucleotides) under uncultured bacterium. RNAcentral's name for it is "partial 16S ribosomal RNA". It matches the Rfam family "Bacterial small subunit ribosomal RNA", at positions 524 to 773 of the family's 1533-position model. The record is from RNAcentral.
UACGGAGGGUGCAAGCGUUGUUCGGAAUUAUUGGGCGUAAAGCGCGCGUAGGCGGGUCAUUAAGUCUGGUGUGAAAUCCCUCGGCUCAACCGAGGACGUGCAUUGGAUACUGGUGACCUUGAAUCCUGGAGAGGGAAGCGGAAUUCCCAGUGUAGAGGUGAAAUUCGUAGAUAUUGGGAGGAACACCGGCGGCGAAGGCGGCUUCCUGGACAGUGAUUGACGCUGAGGUGCGAAAGCGUGGGUAGCAAAC